AGGAUAAACGCUGGCGGCGUGCUUAAUACAUGCAAGUCGAGCGGCAGCAUGCACUUCGGUGUGAUGGCGAGCGGCGGACGGCUGAGUAACGCGUAGGAAUAUACCCCAAAGUGAGGGAUAACUGCCCGAAAGGGUAGCUAAUACCGCAUGUGGUCUUCGGAUUAAAGCUUUAUGCGCUUUGGGAAUGGCCUGCGUACGAUUAGCUUGUUGGUGAGGUAAUAGCUCACCAAGGCGAUGAUCGUUAGCUGGUCUGAGAGGAUGAUCAGCCAGACUGGGACUGAGACACGGCCCAGACUCCUACGGGAGGCAGCAGUAGGGAAUUUUCCACAAUGGACGAAAGUCUGAUGGAGCAACGCCGCGUGCAGGAUGAAGGCCCUUGGGUCGUAAACUGCUUUUCUCUGUGAGGAAUAUGACAGUAGCAGAGGAAUAAGGAUCGGCUAACUCCGUGCCAGCAGCCGCGGUAAUCGUGA
This 470-nucleotide ribosomal RNA is filed under the name uncultured bacterium. RNAcentral describes it as "SSU rRNA". It matches the Rfam family "Bacterial small subunit ribosomal RNA", at positions 26 to 529 of the family's 1533-position model. The record is from RNAcentral.